AUGGACGCAAGUCUGAUGGAGCAACGCCGCGCGAGUGAAGAAGGCUUUCGGGUCGUAAAACUCUGUUGUUGGAGAAGAAUGGUCGGCAGAGUAACUGUUGUCGACGUGACGGUAUCCAACCAGAAAGCCACGGCUAACUACGUGCCAGCAGCCGCGGUAAUACGUAGGUGGCAAGCGUUAUCCGGAUUUAUUGGGCGUAAAGCGAGCGCAGGCGGUUUUUUAAGUCUGAUGUGAAAGCCCUCGGCUUAACCGAGGAAGUGCAUCGGAAACUGGGAAACUUGAGUGCAGAAGAGGACAGUGGAACUCCAUGUGUAGCGGUGAAAUGCGUAGAUAUAUGGAAGAACACCAGUGGCGAAGGCGGCUGUCUGGUCUGUAACUGACGCUGAGGCUCGAAAGCAUGGGUAGCGAACAGGAUUAGAUACCCUGGUAGUCCAUGCCGUAAACGAUGAAUGCUAGGUGUUGGAGGGUUUCCGCCCUUCAGUGCCGCAGCUAACGCAUUAAGCAUUCCGCCUGGGGAGUACGACCGCAAGGUUGAAACUCAAAGGAAUUGACGGGGGCCCGCACAAGCGGUGGAGCAUGUGGUUUAAUUCGAAGCAACGCGAAGAACCUUACCAGGUCUUGACAUCUGUUGAUCACCUGAGAGAUCAGGUUUCCCUUCGGGGGCAAAUGACAGGUGGUGCAUGGUGUCGUCAGCUCGUGUGUGAGAUGUGG
RNAcentral lists this ribosomal RNA (711 nucleotides) under Lacticaseibacillus rhamnosus. Its description in RNAcentral is "bacterial SSU rRNA". It matches the Rfam family "Bacterial small subunit ribosomal RNA", at positions 371 to 1077 of the family's 1533-position model. The record is from RNAcentral. Lineage: Bacteria; Bacillati; Bacillota; Bacilli; Lactobacillales; Lactobacillaceae.